GAUGAACGCUGGCGGCGCGCCUAAUACAUGCAAGUCGAGCGAACAGAUAAGGAGCUUGCUCCUUUGACGUUAGCGGCGGACGGGUGAGUUACACGUGGAUAACCUACCUAUAAGACUGGGAUAACUUCGGGAAACCGGAGCUAAUACCGGAUAACAUAUUGAACCGCAUGGUUCAAUAGUGAAAGGCGGCUUUGCUGUCACUUAUAGAUGGAUCCGCGCCGUAUUAGCUAGUUGGUAAGGUAACGGCUUACCAAGGCAACGAUACGUAGCCGACCUGAGAGGGUGAUCGGCCACACUGGAACUGAGACACGGUCCAGACUCCUACGGGAGGCAGCAGUAGGGAAUCUUCCGCAAUGGGCGAAAGCCUGACGGAGCAACGCCGCGUGAGUGAUGAAGGUCUUCGGAUCGUAAAACUCUGUUAUCAGGGAAGAACAAAUGUGUAAGUAACUGUGCACAUCUUGACGGUACCUGAUCAGAAAGCCACGGCUAACUACGUG
This 497-nucleotide ribosomal RNA is filed under the name uncultured bacterium. RNAcentral describes it as "partial 16S ribosomal RNA". It matches the Rfam family "Bacterial small subunit ribosomal RNA", at positions 28 to 507 of the family's 1533-position model. The record is from RNAcentral.